AUGGAGGCCGAGCGGGGUCCCGAGCGCCGGCCUGCGGAGCGUAGCAGCCCGGGCCAGACGCCGGAGGAGGGCGCGCAGGCCUUGGCCGAGUUCGCGGCGCUGCACGGCCCGGCGCUGCGCGCUUCGGGGGUCCCCGAACGUUACUGGGGCCGCCUCCUGCACAAGCUGGAGCACGAGUUUUCGACGCUGGGGAAGUGUUUGGGAUCAUGCAAGUGGAGGAGGUAGAAGAGGAGGAGGACGAGGCAGCCCGGGAGGUGCGGAAGCAGCAGCCCAACCCGGGGAACGAGCUGUGCUACAAGGUCAUCGUGACCAGGGAGAGCGGGCUCCAGGCAGCCCACCCCAACACAUCUUCCUCAUCGACCACGCCUGGACGUGCCGUGUGGAGCACGCGCGCCAGCAGCUGCAGCAGGUGCCCGGGCUGCUGCACCGCAUGGCCAACCUGAUGGGCAUUGAGUUCCACGGUGAGCUGCCCAGUACAGAGGCUGUGGCCCUGGUGCUGGAGGAGAUGUGGAAGUUCAACCAGACCUACCUGUAUGCCGUCGACCUCAUGCUGAAGUGGGACAACGGCCCAGAUGAAGGCGGGUGAUGCAGCCGCAGAUCCUGGAGGUGAACUUCAACCCCGACUG
This 626-nucleotide long non-coding RNA is filed under the name Homo sapiens (human). RNAcentral's name for it is "non-protein coding lnc-SCUBE1-4:1". The record is from RNAcentral. Lineage: Eukaryota; Metazoa; Chordata; Mammalia; Primates; Hominidae.